Molecule: ribosomal RNA, 254 nt
Filed under: uncultured bacterium
Lineage: Bacteria
Description: partial 16S ribosomal RNA
Rfam family: Bacterial small subunit ribosomal RNA
Source: RNAcentral
GACGAACCGUGCGAACGUUAUUCGGAAUCACUGGGCUUAAAGCGCGUGUAGGCGGGGCGGCACGUCGGUCGCUGAAAGCCCCCGGCUCAACCGGGGAAGUGGCACCGAUACGACCGCCCUGGAGGGACGUAGGGGGACCUGGAACUUCCGGUGGAGCGGUGAAAUGCGUUGAGAUCGGAAGGAACGCCCGUGGCGAAAGCGAGGUCCUGGACGUUUUCUGACGCUGAGACGCGAAAGCCAGGGGAGCGAACGGG